Long non-coding RNA from Cylas formicarius (sweet potato weevil), 7020 nucleotides. RefSeq lists it as uncharacterized. The transcript is spliced from 3 exons. Lineage: Eukaryota; Metazoa; Arthropoda; Insecta; Coleoptera; Brentidae. The record is from RefSeq and is a predicted model, not a curated record.
AUAUUUACACCGUUUAUAUUUCUGUUUUACAAUUUUAUAUCUACAGUUCUAUUUUUACAAUUUAAAUGGUGCCGUCGUGUGUUGUAUCUGAGUGUUUUUAUUUCUACAUCGACUGCAAAAUUAGGGAGGAAUUGCACAAGUCAGGUUCAGCGGAGAGGAGUUCUUGUCAGCUGCCACUAUCGCUCUGUGCAGAUUUGCCUUGGAGUUAGUGAAGAAAAUCAAGCCUGCUGUUUGACGGUGACGGGUGAUGAGCGCGGUGUUUUAAAAUAAUAUAAUAUAAAAGUAAUUUUAAAAUACCAAAUGUGUGGGGGUUCACCAGAGCUAGAGCCCAUGAGUUAAUAAUUUGAAUUUGGGCGCCCGCGUAGACGAAAGUUUUCAUGCUGGAGCCAACCGUAUUCAUAAGAUUCUCCCCUACCUCUUGCUUCAUCGCUUUGUGGUCAGCGGUUAGCGCCCACUUUAUCUUUCGUGCAAUGGCAGUCUGAAAAAUCCAUUUUGUCCAUUAAUCUGAUAUUAUUAGAUUCUUGGCGCUCACCUCUUUUCGCAACUAUAAACGCACAGUUUUCUAUUCCUAAUCCCAUUCGAUUGUCCUUUGUGAAUUUGGCCACUAGUUCUACUUGACUUUGGAGUUGUUCUUUGUUACUGGAAUAUACUUUCAAGUAAUCCAUGUAUAGGAAGUGAUAAAGGGUCACUUUUUAAUUUCUUGAUAUUAUGUAGCCUUGAUUGGUGGCAUUCAGCAUAAUGCUCAGGAGGCAGAAUAAUAGUAGGCUUAAGCUAUUCCCUUGAAAUAUCCAUCUCGAUAUUUUUAUAUUCUGUGUAAAAUAUUUGACUUCAUUUACCUACAACUGGUUUCCCACCUGUUCAUAAUCCUUGAUAUUAAUAUUAUAAUAAGAUAUUGAUAUUUUAGGUUCCAAUUUAUCGGUAUGAAACACUCUCAAAAUCUACAAAUGAGGAACACAGUCAUACGCUUUCCGAUAUCAAGUCUAUCAAAGCGGCUGAUGAUAUUUUCCUUGUCACUACUUGUUUGGUAGCAACACAGUCAAUCAAUAUCCACUUGUUACUUCCUAUGCUCCCCCGCCUGUAAUCUUUUGGUUCCGGGUUUGGUUCGAUUUUGGACUCAUGUUUGUUAUGCCUUGAGUGAAGAAAGAUGGUUUCGUCCAAGGGUCUCUAAUCGCGUUCUGAAAUGGGCUGCAUGCGUGCACUUGAUCCACUAUAGUAUCUCCGAGACUUUUUCCUAUGCUGGUAUCCAAAUUGGACUGUUGUGGUUGACUCCAUACAUUACUCCAAAAUCUUACUACUUCUUCUCCUGAGGGCGGUCUGCCAUCUUUUCCAAUUUCUUUGGCAUUUAAAUUUAUGUACAAUGAGCUUGGAUUUUUCCUGGAGAGGGUAUUUAUUUAUAUUUACUAUUAUUAUUAUUUUAAGAGAGGAAAUGCAUCAUGCACGAGUUGCCGUAUUUUAUCUGUGCGAAACAAUGUGGGACACUAACCCAUUAAAACGUCUCUAUUUCUACACCUUGCAUCGCAUCCAUGAAGCCGUCCGUGUUUGACAUGACAUCAUAGAUGGUAGGUUGUCUAGUCUUCUGAGAUUAUUCUUAAACCGGUUGUCUUGCCAUAUUGUCUGUUUCUCUCCUCUUUCUCCUUCUGACUUAUUAUGGAUUUAAUCAUAUAGUGUAUUGUUUUCCACUGCUCCUCAUUUUCGAACUAAGUUUCGAGGAUCCAGUAUGCAACCUAGUGUUUGGUAAGUGUUGUUUCGUACUACGCUCCAUCUCGCACAUUUCAAGAUUGUAUGCUCUACAUCGUCUUUUUUAUUGCAAUAUAUACAGGUGUCAGUUGUAUCCAUUCCAAAUUUUUUGGCGUUUGUCCUAAAACACCCAUGGCCUGUGAUAGCUUGUAUUAGAUAAUAGUCAGCGUGCCGAAAAGCACAAUAUACCCAGUCUUCUAUGUUGUUUAUAAGUUUUUUAGUCCAUUGGCUUUUGUAUAAUUAUUUUCUCAUCUAUGUUUCCAGGUUUGUAUGCUUCUGGUUCUUGCAGUCAUCUUUGAGUGCUUUAGGUUGUUGUUUAGGUUAUUCAUAUACAUAUCGUCUCUCCUGAGUAAGAAGGUCAAUGGGUAUAGCCCCUGUUAUAACCUGUAAAGCGGCGGUUGAGACGGUUCUAUUUGCUGAUGCCAUUCUGAUUAGCAUUUUUCGCUGGAUUCUGGACAUCAUAUCCUUAUAUUUGUUUUGCAUUAAUGCUGUAUACCAUAUGGGUGCCCCCUACAGGAUAAUACUCUCCACCGCUCUACAUAACACCAUUUUCUUGCCACUACUAGGUCCUCUUAUAUUUGGAAUCAGCCUGUUAGCCUUGCCACCCGAUCUUCGACUUUCUCUAUUGUGUUUUCAAUAUGUCUUUUAAAGCUAAGCCAUUCGUCCAAAGUGAUACUUAGAUAUUUUACGGUUUUGCUGGGUUUUAUUUCCACCGCACCCAGAUUGAUUCGUAUGUGGUCUCUCUUUCUUUUACCUUUCAGGAUGAGCAUUUCUGUUUUUUGCGGGGUCAGCUGUAGCUUAUGCGAUUUCAUCCACAUCAUGAUUCGUCUCAGGCAUUGGUUUGUAUUUCUACGUGUUCUUUUUCAGCUGUCACCACUAGUGCCAAGUCGUCGGCAAAACCAAUCGAUAUGGUGGCAUCUGUAAGGUCCAUUCUGAGUACUCCAUCGUAGGCUAUGUUCCAGAGUGUUUGUCCUAGAACUGAUCCCUGUGGGACCCCUGCACUUAUGUUGACGUUUUCACCUUUUACUACUUGGACCAUGCGAUUUUCCAGGUAAAUGGAGAUCAAGUUAGUCAGGUACUGGGAGAUGCGUCUGUUCUUCAGUUCUCCUAUAUGAUUUGCUGAGUUAAAUGCAUUUUUAACAUUCAGCCUUACAAGCACACACCACGGUUUUGUGCAUUCUCUUGCUAUUUUUAUUGCCGUGUCUAAUGCUUGAAUUGUUGAUUUUCCUUUACGGAAACCAAAUUGAUUUGCAUGAAGACCCAUAUUUCUUUUGAUCUCUUCCUCAAGCCUUGUCCUUAUGACUACUUCAAAUAGCUUAUUGAUAGUAUUCAGCAUGCGCAAAGGUCUGAAUGCCGAUAAGCUUUCAAGAGGUUUAUCCCCUUUCAGUAUAAAAACUAUUUUUGCGAGUUUCCGCUUUUCGGGAAAGAUUUGAUCUUUUAACAGCUUGUUCAGAACAUUUAGCAUAUAUGUUGGUACAGCUUUUACCAUCUCCUUAAUUGCUUCAGGCGGAAUACCAUCUAAUCCUGGAGCUCUGCCAUUUUUCAUGCUCUGCGCAGCCUCGCAGCGCAGCGUAGUCUAGGGUCAAAGGUUUCAAACCACUCACUGCUGGUUUUUUGACCCACGUGUUGCAUCCGCGGGAACAACUCCUCAACUGGGGCUUUUUUCUUCGUUAAGUCUAGCUCGUAUGGAGUGGAGGUUUUCAAGCUUCUAGUUACAAUUUUUGGCCGUUUCGUCGUUUUCCAGUUCAUUUCACAGUUCUUGCCAGUGCUUCCUCUUUGACGUAUUUAUGUUUUUGCGCAGCUCUCUCUUGCACCAUUUAUAAUUUUUCCGGGAUUUCUGUUUUUCUUUUACGAAAUGCGGCCCAUUUUUCUACUCAGAUUUAUACAUUCGGCUCUUUUGCAGGCAAUUUCAGCAUUCCACCAAUAUGGAGCCAGUGAGGAUUGGUUUCUACUCUUUUUAAUAGAACUGACAGAAUAGGCUCUUUUAAUUAGCUCUGUAGUCCGUUGGUAGUUCUUGUCUGACGCGUUUUCGGAUUGAAGUUGUAGUUCCAGUAGUGCACUAAAAUUUUUGCAAUGUAUUUCUAUUUUUCUUUUUUCGUAACUAGUUUUGGAUAUCUUUGCUCCACGUAAUUCGAAGUGUAUGUAUUGAUGGUCGCUUAGGUUUUCGGUUGUUAAUACCUUCCAGUGGACUAUAUCUCUUGCUAUUUUGGUUGUAGAACAGGUUACAUCUAUGAAUGAUUCGCUUUUGCCCCUAACGAAUGUGGGUGUACCGCCAGUGUUGUGUAUUACGAGGUUUAGUGCAGAGAGCCAUUCUAGCCAGUAGUCUCCUCUUGCGUCUGUUUUGAGUGAUCCCCAUUGAGCCGACUUAGGAUAAUAAAUUUUUCAGCUUUUUGCUUAGCUUUAUUCAUUAUCUUGUCCACUUCUAUUUUAUAUCUCUCUAUUGCAAUGUUUGGGGAGAUGUAGCAACAUAGCAACAGUAGAGCCAGCAGUUUUUUAAUUUAAAGCACACUUAUCCUUCGUUACACGAGACAUUUAUUACUUCUGUCUUUUUGUUGAUAAAUCGCACUGCUACGUCCAUUCUGGUGUCCUUGAUCCACUCCCUGCCUGCAAGGAUUUUCUUAUUUGGCUCACCCACCAUAACGAUGUCUAUAUCAUUUUCUUUAAUAGUAGCGUUGGCGAGGUCAUGUGCUGCCCGCGCCCGCCCUAGCUUUCUCUGUAGCAAUUUAAGGCCCAUUUUUGUAUGCUGUCCCUCCCUUUCUCGAGUCACUUAGUGAUUUCAUUCUUUUUGGUUCUAACUCCUCUACAGCUUUUCUAAAAUGAGGGCAUCUAAUUUGAUCUACUCUGUGUCCUUCUAUAUUGCAUUUCGUGCAGUGGGGUCCAAUUUUAUAUUGUUUAGCUUUAUGCUCCUCCUCUCCACAGUUCAAACAUGCACCGGUUGGGGCUUUGCAGUCACGUUUUACGUGGCCGUGUUCUACGCAGUUGAAACAGCGGAUUACUGUUACCUUUUCAUUUAUUUUGCAGUUAAUCCAGACUAUUCUUAUUGUCUCCGCUUUUAUGAAUGUAAGCGCUGGCUCUCUUGGGAUUUCUACUGUUGCAGUGAGUUAGUCGUACUUGACGGGUCUCAUUGAUUUAAUUAUAAUUUUACUCUCAUCUAAGUUUGUACUCAUUUUUAGUGCGUCUGUGACUUCAGAUUGGGAUGUUGCAUGAUGCUGAUAUAGAGCGUUAUAGUGUUUUUCCUCGUUGUGGCCUCGCAGUCCUGUAUUUUUUCUUUAAUCUCUUUUUUAACGGUAAAGAUUAGGGCAUCAUUAGCAGUUUUCCUAAUUGUUUUAAUUUUUACUUCUAUUCUGUUAAGGUCCAGUUGCGGUUUUACCUUUUUCCGUAAGUCGGCAUAUGAAUUGCCAGCCGCCUUUACGUUACAGUUUCGUUUCCUAGUUUCUUAUUCCAUGUCUGUCGGUUUUUCUUUUCUGUCUCUCUGGGAAUGCAAUUGAUAUUUUACUCCUGUUCUGUUCGUAGACUAGCUUCUUAAAAUUUUCCGCUAGUUUACAGAACUCCUUCGUGUCAUUUACCCCUUCAUUUUGGAUAUGGUAUGGAAGAAUAUAGACGUACCUUCGUCUUUCCACGUCGAUCCCACGACUUGUGGUGGCUUUUGUAAUAUUUGUAACAUAUUCUAUGUUUCCGCGUUUAAUUUCUUUGAGUAUUUCUUCGAUUUCAGGAUCUUAAUUUAUUAUUGCUUUUGCGAGUCCUUUUUCGCCUCUUUCAGUGUGGUCCACUACUAGCGUCAUAUCGUCCGUGUAGUUGUUUUUCGUAGGGUUUCCUGUUUCUACAGUUGUGCUCUUAUACACUUUUUCUGGCCAGUUUUGAUCCAAUAGUCCUGAAAAAUCUUCAAAUUUGUUGCUAUAUCCUAGGGUUGUUAUUAUUUGAUCUGUUUCUCUGUUGUUAUAGCCUACACUUACUUGUACUCCUUUGCUCGCCAUUUCAGUUUUAAAAUGUACUUGUACUCCAGCAUCUACCGUUUUAUUUUGUGCGUUUGUUUCAUCCAGUGAUUCUCUGAGAUACUCUUCUUGUUCUUUAUAUUUCCUUAUAAUCUUUUGUACAUGAAAAUGGAUAUCCUUAAUAGUGUUUUUUAUUUUUUAGUUUAGGGGUUACAUUGAUUAUUAGUUUCAUAAGUUAUUUUAAUUCUGAGCAAUAACUUAAUAACUUCAUAAGGUCUUUUUUUUCUAAAUGUCCACAGCUAUUGUUUUACAUACUCAGUUUUGAAGUGCGAGUAUCUUCCCGUUUCCUUUUGGUAUUCUGUUUAAAUACAUCGUCGUCAUCAUUUCACUGGACCAUGGUAUUAACUUCUUUUUUAUUAAAUAUAGGGCUUCUGGCGAGUGAGCUUCUCUUUGCAAAUGGAUCCCCGAUGAUAUGCCAAUUUUCUGGGUCACCUACGUCGUGUACCAAUGACACUUCCUUCUUUCCUUGUUUCUCCUUUCCGGCCUCCAAUUUACUUGCACUUGUUCUCCUGUCUCUUUUUCCAAAGAAGUUAGCUUUUUCACCGGUCUGAGAAAAUGGAUGACCAGUAGCUGCUUCCUGCACCUCUGCCUGGUGCGCCACCGCAGACGCUGGACAGUCGCUGGCUGACGGUCGAAGGGGGGAAGGGGGAGUCUGCCCGUGUAGCCACCACACCGACCGGAACUGGGGUCUCCCUCCCCUGCUCCGUAAACGUAGUACUCUUCGUUUGUCCGUCCAUAGAAAAAAAAGGUUUUUUUUUUUUGUUAAGAGCUGCUUCCAGAAAAAUAGCUGUGAAAAGAGAGACCCCUAGCCCUCGGAAACCUAAUAGCAUUGGGGUCGAAAGAAAACAAGACUUGGCUAAGGUAAGCCAAGAAGAUAGAAAACAGAAGAACAGGAUCUCACCCAAGACUAGUUGAAACAAAGUGAGAAAGCCAACUGGGGCACCUCGGGACCGCCACUUAUUAUUAUUAUUAUGUUCCUUGUUGAAAACUAAUCCGUUAUGUUACAGGUCCUGUCCUGUACAAUGCUUAUCAGUAAUAUCUUCGCGUUUAAACAAAUAAAAAAAAAUGAAUAGUUUGCUGAUUUUUGCAUUAAAUGAUAUUUUCUUAUCUACACCUAUAGGCAUCUAGCGUUAUCGCGAAAUUCUAAGGACAGCAUAAACAUUUUUCAAACGUUUAAAUUAGUCCACUGAUAAUGUGUAGCAGUAGGUACAUACGUACACGGUGAAUCAACUUAAUUAUUGUAUACAGGUUGAUUCACGGUGAGCGGCAGCUAGACAUUUAUGGAGAAUGG